RNAcentral lists this ribosomal RNA (174 nucleotides) under uncultured bacterium. RNAcentral's name for it is "partial 16S ribosomal RNA". It matches the Rfam family "Bacterial small subunit ribosomal RNA", at positions 1319 to 1500 of the family's 1533-position model. The record is from RNAcentral.
CACGAAGUUGGAUUCGCUAGUAAUCGCGCAUCAGCCAUGGCGCGGUGAAUACGUUCCCGGGCCUUGUACACACCGCCCGUCAAGCCAUGGGAGCCGGGGGCGCCUGAAGUGCGCUGCCGCAAGGAGCGUCCUAGGGUAAAACCGGUGACUGGGGCUAAGUCGUAACAAGGUAAC